Molecule: long non-coding RNA, 242 nt
Filed under: Nicotiana benthamiana
Lineage: Eukaryota; Viridiplantae; Streptophyta; Magnoliopsida; Solanales; Solanaceae
Description: long non-coding RNA (NBEN_LNC021515)
Source: RNAcentral
AAUAACCGUAUAUGUCCAAUUUGGGAACAGAAAUUAAAUUCCGUCUAAAAGACGGUACAACAAAAGUCUCACUCAAAUCUAAAUAAAAACCAGUGUUAAACAACAGCCUAAAUUUGCCAAUAGCCUCAACUUGCACCUUUUUGCCGUAACCCACAUAGAUGUAUCUUUCACCAUCAUUUGAUUUUCGGCAGUUCAGGCAACCCUGCAUAGAUAUACUUAUGUGAGUAGUAGCAGCCGAAUCU